GACGAACGCUGGCGGCGUGCUUAACACAUGCAAGUCGAACGGAAAGGCCUUGUUUGUGUGGUGCGCGCGUGUCGCGCGCGUGUGUAAAACAUGUGUAUACCGUGCUCGUGUCUUGGGUAUAUCUUCGGGACACUGGCUCAUAUCGCAUAGAGGCGCCUCUUCUGCGGUGGGGGUGGUGGAGAUUCUCGGCGGUUGGGGAUGGACUCGCGGCUUAUCAGCUUGUUGGUGGGGUAGUGGCUUACCAAGGCUUUGACGGGUAGCCGGCCUGAGAGGGUGACCGGCCACAUUGGGACUGAGAUACGGCCCAGACUCCUACGGGAGGCAGCAGUGGGGAAUAUUGCACAAUGGGCGGAAGCCUGAUGCAGCAACGCCGCGUGCGGGAUGACGGCCUUCGGGUUGUAAACCGCUUUCGCCUGUGACGAAGCGUGAGUGACGGUAAUGGGUAAAGAAGCACCGGCUAACUACGUG
RNAcentral lists this ribosomal RNA (468 nucleotides) under uncultured bacterium. RNAcentral's name for it is "partial 16S ribosomal RNA". It matches the Rfam family "Bacterial small subunit ribosomal RNA", at positions 28 to 507 of the family's 1533-position model. The record is from RNAcentral.